AUCAAACAUGCUGACAUUAUAGUCUCGGUUACCUUCAAGGCGAAAGCUUGAGAAUCGACGGAGUACCUACUUUGGUAAUUUAAUAUGAAUACAUGAUCCACAACUAUCAAUCAAGUCAGCAAAUCGCUCAAGUUGUUUACACUUGCAUCAUCCAAAUUGGCCGGUGGUGGAGUGACAGUCGGGACGGGUUUUUGGGUGAAACGUGUGGUUGAACAAUGGGGUCCUUGUUUUCUAAGAGUACCUGGCGUCGUUGCCGUCACUGCGAGCGCGAUGUGAAGCUGUUCGAGCGGUCGUGCUGCCUGUGCGCGGCGGCGGCCAAGCGCAUGGAGCCGCCGCCGCGCAGCGACAAGCCGCUGUUCGGCGAGUACCUCUGCAUCACGUGCGAGGUGGUGUGGACCAGCCGCCUGUGCUGGCCCUGCCACUACCAGGCCUGCAAGCGCUGCCACCUGCUCGUCUACCCUCACAGCUGGCGCGACCUUACAGCAGCGGAAAAAAGACGUGAAGCCACAACUAAGGACCACCAGAGAGAAUACUGCCAGAAGUGCCUAGAGGUCGGCUACUACUGUGGAGACUAUGCUAGGCUCUACGGCAAAUUCUAACGAACCGUCCAUUCGCUGGUCCCUGGGCGUCGAUGUCUUGAGCUGUCUGUACGAACCGACGUAGGCUGUAGUUGUGGCGAUACACAAGAAUCCAAGGUAGACAAUAUAGAAUACGAAGAUGGUCCUAUGGAGGGCUUGGAUGCGGCGCAGACCUUUCCAACCUCGGACCAGAUCUGGGGAAUGGUAGGCACUAUUCUGGCUAUCGGAGCAGUCUGGAUGAUAUUUACAAGGAUCAAACGCGGCUUCAAACCUCUUUCGAAGCCGGCACAAGUCGCCCGCGGUACCGACAUGCAGCACCCGCAGGCGUCCCGCCUUCCCCACCCGCCCCCGCUCGACAGCGCGACGCGCAUCACACAGACCUCGGAC
This is an RNA transcript of Leguminivora glycinivorella, 965 nucleotides long. It is a transcript of the gene named zinc finger CCHC domain-containing protein 24-like, with no coding region annotated. The transcript has 5 exons. Lineage: Eukaryota; Metazoa; Arthropoda; Insecta; Lepidoptera; Tortricidae. The record is from RefSeq and is a predicted model, not a curated record.